ACUCAAAUGAAUUGACGGGGGCCCGCACAAGCGGUGGAACAUGUGGUUUAAUUCGAUGCAACGCGAAGAACCUUACCUGGGCUUGACAUCUAGAGAACCCUGUGGAAACACGGGGGUGCCUUCGGGAACUCUAAGACAGGUGGUGCACGGUUGUCGUCAGCUCGUGUCGUGAGAUGUUGGGUUAAGUCCCGCAACGAGCGCAACCCUCGUUGUCUGUUGCUACAGGCUGCAAAGUGCUGAGCACUCAGGCGAGACUGCCGGUGAUAAACCGGAGGAAGGUGGGGAUGACGUCAAAUCAUCAUGCCCCUUAUGUCCAGGGCUACACACGUGUUACAAUGGGAUAGGACAACGGGCAGCCUGCCAGCAAUGGUUAGCUAAUCCCUUAAACCUACCCUCAGUUCGGAUUGGAGUCUGCAACUCGACUCCAUGAAGUCGGAAUCGCUAGUAAACGCGGAUCAGCCAUGCCGCGUUGAAUACGUUCCCGGGCCUUGUACACACCGCCCGU
This 505-nucleotide ribosomal RNA is filed under the name uncultured bacterium. Its description in RNAcentral is "partial 16S ribosomal RNA". It matches the Rfam family "Bacterial small subunit ribosomal RNA", at positions 899 to 1397 of the family's 1533-position model. The record is from RNAcentral.